AUAAAAUUCAAAUUCUAAUGAAAUCUGGGCCUCUAGUCUCGACUUUUUCAUGUUGUAACUCAUUCAUGUUGAAUGGUGUCACUAAGUAUGAACACACACGAGAUAGCAGAAUUGGUAGUUUUGAUCUUCAGUGAACAUUUCACUGUUCGAGUUGGAACUCACAUGAGUAAACUUUAUGAGAUUCUUUAUGAAUGUAAAAAUGGUGGAUUAGUGGAUUGUACUUCAUGCAAUUUGUGCCUUAGAAGAUUCCGAGAGAUGUCCGAGAAGACAGUGAGUCAUUCAAUCAAGAAUAGAUGCUUUUGAUCUUCACGAGAAUCACUUUUGUCAGUGUAUUAGUAUAAUAAAGCAUAUAAACAUAUAUUGUAUAUGAAUAUUUAAAACGAUAAAAAUUAUAUAUUUGAUUUACUUUUUUCCAUUUGGUGACCAAUUUUUUUUUUUGC
RNAcentral lists this long non-coding RNA (440 nucleotides) under Androctonus crassicauda. Lineage: Eukaryota; Metazoa; Arthropoda; Arachnida; Scorpiones; Buthidae. The record is from RNAcentral.